UACGUAGGGGGCGAGCGUUGUCCGGAGUUACUGGGCGUAAAGCGCACGCAGGCGGUCGGUUGCGUCUGGGCUGACAGCCCUCGGCUUCACUGAGGGAGGUGCCGGGAAACGAGCCGACUUGAGGGUCAGAGAGGGAGCAGGAAGUCCGGGUGGAGCGGUGAAAUGCGUAGAGAUCCGGAGGAACACCAAUGGCGAAGGCAAGCUCCUGGCUGACGCCUGACGCUCGGGUGCGAAAGCGAGGGGAGCGAACGGG
Molecule: ribosomal RNA, 253 nt
Filed under: uncultured prokaryote
Description: partial 16S ribosomal RNA
Rfam family: Bacterial small subunit ribosomal RNA
Source: RNAcentral